This 307-nucleotide unclassified non-coding RNA is filed under the name plant metagenome. RNAcentral's name for it is "partial contains 5.8S ribosomal RNA, internal transcribed spacer 2, and large subunit ribosomal RNA". The stretch from base 1 to 105 matches the Rfam family "5.8S ribosomal RNA", at positions 50 to 154 of the family's 154-position model. The record is from RNAcentral.
GAAAUGCGAUAAGUAAUGUGAAUUGCAGAAUUCAGUGAAUCAUCGAAUCUUUGAACGCACAUUGCGCCCGCCAGCACUCUGGCGGGCAUGCCUGUUCGAGCGUCAUUUCAACCCUCAGAACCCCUUGCGGGAUCUGGCGUUGGGGAUUGGCAUCCAGCCAGCACCGAAAUCUAGUGGCGGUCCCUCCGCGACCUCCCCUGUGCAGUAGCGAUACCUCGCAGCGGGACAGCGGUCUGACCACGCCGUAAAACCCCCAACUUCUCAAGGUUGACCUCGAAUCACGUAGGCAUACCCGCUGAACUUAAGC